Molecule: ribosomal RNA, 525 nt
Filed under: uncultured bacterium
Lineage: Bacteria
Description: bacterial SSU rRNA
Rfam family: Bacterial small subunit ribosomal RNA
Source: RNAcentral
GGGCGAAGCCUGACGCAGCCAUGCCGCGUGAAUGAUGAAGGUCUUAGGAUUGUAAAAUUCUUUCACCGGGGAAGAUAAUGACGGUACCCGGAGAAGAAGCCCCGGCUAACUUCGUGCCAGCAGCCGCGGUAAUACGAAGGGGGCUAGCGUUGCUCGGAAUUACUGGGCGUAAAGGGCGCGUAGGCGGAUAGUUUAGUCAGAGGUGAAAGCCCAGGGCUCAACCCUGGAAUUGCCUUUGAUACUGGCUAUCUUGAGUUCGGGAGAGGUGAGUGGAACUCCGAGUGUAGAGGUGAAAUUCGUAGAUAUUCGGAAGAACACCAGUGGCGAAGGCGACUCACUGGCCCGAUACUGACGCUGAGGCGCGAAAGCGUGGGGAGCAAACAGGAUUAGAUACCCUGGUAGUCCACGCUGUAAACGAUGAGUGCUAGUUGUCGGCAUGCAUGCAUGUCGGUGACGCAGCUAACGCAUUAAGCACUCCGCCUGGGGAGUACGGUCGCAAGAUUAAAACUCAAAAAAAUUGACGGA